GGCUAACGCUGGCGGCGUGUCUUAGCCAUGCAAGUCGAGCGGACUUAUGGGGUAACUUAUAAGUCAGCGGCGGACGGCGGAGUAACACGUAGCUAACCUACCCUCUGGACGGGGAUAACCUACCGAAAGGUGGGCUAAUACCCGAUGUAGUCAUCCUGUAUAGGGGUGAUGAAAGGUGGGCUUCUGUUUACAAGCUCAUGCUGGAGGAGGGGGCUGCGGCCUAUCAGGUAGUUGGUAGGGUAAUAGCCUACCAAGCCGAUGACGGGUAGCCGGCCUGAGAGGGUGACCGGCCCGAGGGGCACUGAGAUACGGGUCCCACUCCUACGGGAGGCAGCAGGCUAGAAAUUUGGGCAAUGGGGGAAACCCUGGACCCAGUGACGCCGCGUGCAGGAAGGAGCCCUUCGGGGUGUAAACUGCUGUCGUGUAGGGAGAAGGGUACUAAGGUGAACAAAUCUUAGUACUUGACGGUACUACAGGAGGAAGCCCAGGCUAACCUCGUGCCAGCAGCCGCGGUAAAUAGCGUACU
This 526-nucleotide ribosomal RNA is filed under the name uncultured bacterium. Its description in RNAcentral is "bacterial SSU rRNA". It matches the Rfam family "Bacterial small subunit ribosomal RNA", at positions 28 to 531 of the family's 1533-position model. The record is from RNAcentral.